UAGGGAAUAUUACUUAAUGGGCGAAAGCCUGAAGCAGCAACGCCGCGUGUGUGAAGAAGGCCUUCGGGUUGUAAAACACUAUUUGAGGGGAUGAGGAAGGACAGUACCCUCAGAAUAAGCCUCGGCUAACUACGUGCCAGCAGCCGCGGUAAAACGUAGGAGGCGAGCGUUAUCCGGAUUUACUGGGCGUAAAGCGCGUGCAGGCGGCACGGCAAGUUGGAUGUGAAAGCUCCCGGCUUAACUGGGAGAGGUCGUUCAAAACUGCCGAGCUAGAGUGCGGGAGAGGGAGGUGGAAUUCCGGGUGUAGUGGUGAAGUGCGUAGAUAUCCGGAGGAACACCAGUGGCGAAAGCGGCCUCCUGGUCCGCAACUGA
RNAcentral lists this ribosomal RNA (372 nucleotides) under uncultured bacterium. Its description in RNAcentral is "bacterial SSU rRNA". It matches the Rfam family "Bacterial small subunit ribosomal RNA", at positions 355 to 743 of the family's 1533-position model. The record is from RNAcentral.